This 253-nucleotide ribosomal RNA is filed under the name uncultured bacterium. RNAcentral's name for it is "partial 16S ribosomal RNA". It matches the Rfam family "Bacterial small subunit ribosomal RNA", at positions 524 to 776 of the family's 1533-position model. The record is from RNAcentral.
UACAGAGGGGGCGAGCGUUGUUCGGAAUUACUGGGCGUAAAGGGCGCGUAGGCGGCCCGCUAAGUCGAACGUGAAAUCCCCAGGCUCAACCUGGGAACUGCGUCCGAUACUGGCAGGCUUGAAUCCGGGAGAGGGAUGCGGAAUUCCAGGUGUAGCGGUGAAAUGCGUAGAUAUCUGGAGGAACACCGGUGGCGAAGGCGGCAUCCUGGACCGGCAUUGACGCUGAGGCGCGAAAGCUAGGGGAGCAAACGGG